CGCGAUCCGGCCGGGGCCCCUGACCUGGAAAAGCUCGUGUCCGCCGGGCCAGUCUAAUUAAACUCAGGACCUUGCACUUGCCCGGCAGCUGCACUCCCGACCUAUAUCGCUGGCCCCUGAGGAUAUAAACAGGACGAACUUGAAAGUUGCAUGCCACUAAGCAAAUCCAUGUGGUGCACUGUGAAUUCUUUUUUUAAAUAAAAAUCUGCAAAUAACACA
RNAcentral lists this long non-coding RNA (219 nucleotides) under Chinchilla lanigera (long-tailed chinchilla). RNAcentral's name for it is "lncRNA (ENSCLAG00000022748.1)". Lineage: Eukaryota; Metazoa; Chordata; Mammalia; Rodentia; Chinchillidae. The record is from RNAcentral.